AUGAUCUGGUGGAGGUAUCAUCUGGUGGAGGUCCUCCUGGUGGAGGUAUCAUCUGGUGGAGGUCCUCCUGGUGGAGGUUUCAUCUGGUGGAGGUCCUCCUGGUGGAGGUCCUCCUGGUGGAGGUAUCAUCUGGUGGAGGUCCUCCUAGUGGAGGUCCUCCUGGUGGAGGUCGGUCUGGUGGAGGUCCUCCUGGUGGAGGUAUCAUCUGGUGGAGGUCCUCCUAGUGGAGGUCCUCCUGGUGGAGGUCAGUCUGGUGGAGGUCCUCCUGGUGGAGGUCCUCCUGGUGGAGGUCAGUCUGGUGGAGGUCAGUCUGGUGGAGGUCCUCCUGGUGGAGGUAUCAUCUGGUGGAGGUCCUCCUGGUGGAGGUAUCAUCUGGUGGAGGUCCUCCUAGUGGAAGUCCUCCUGGUGGAGGUCAGUCUGGUGGAGGUCCUCCUGGUUGAGGUCAGUCUGGUGGAGGUCCUCCUGGUGGAGGUCAGUCUGGUGGAGGUCCCCCUGGUGGAGGUCCUCCUGGUGGAGGUAUCACCUGGUGGAGGUCCUCCUGGUGGAAGUCCUCCUGGUGGAGGUCAGUCUGGUGGAGGUCCUCCUGGUGGAGGUCCCCCUGGUGGAGGUAUCAUCUGGUGGAGGUCCUCCUGGUGGAGGUAUCACCUGGUGGAGGUCCUCCUGGUGGAGGUGGUCCUCCUGGCGGAGGUCAGUCUGGCCCUGUCGUGGAUACUGAGGCCUGGGGCCCUUCAGACCCUCCCCCAUCAGGGUGCUCAUCUCUGGGGGAGGAGUGGUGGUCCUGGCCCGCUCUGGAGGAGGGGGCUGUGGUCUCGGGGGAGGCGCUGUGAGCUCCUUCCUGGGGCGUACAGCCCGGAUGGUUCUUCCGGAAGUGUUGGUUCAGAAUGGCCUGGAAGGGAAAGCUCUUCCCACAGAGGUGGCAGUGGAAGGGCUUGUUCCCGGUGUGCUUCCGGAUGUGGUACUCCAGCUGGUCUUUGCGGGUGUACUUCUUCCCACAGAUGCGGCAGACGAAGGGCGUGA
This 1017-nucleotide long non-coding RNA is filed under the name Gadus morhua (Atlantic cod). RNAcentral's name for it is "lncRNA (ENSGMOG00000031226.1)". The record is from RNAcentral. Lineage: Eukaryota; Metazoa; Chordata; Actinopteri; Gadiformes; Gadidae.